RNAcentral lists this ribosomal RNA (771 nucleotides) under uncultured bacterium. Its description in RNAcentral is "bacterial SSU rRNA". It matches the Rfam family "Bacterial small subunit ribosomal RNA", at positions 8 to 796 of the family's 1533-position model. The record is from RNAcentral.
AGAGUUUGAUCCUGGCUCAGGACGAACGCUGGCGGCGUGCUUAACACAUGCAAGUCGAACGGAAAGGCCCUUCGGGGUACUCGAGUGGCGAACGGGUGAGUAACACGUGGGUGAUCUGCCCUGCACUUUGGGAUAAGCCUGGGAAACUGGGUCUAAUACCGAAUAUGACCAUGCGCCUCCUGGUGUGUGGUGGAAAGCUUUUGCGGUGUGGGACGGGCCCGCGGCCUAUCAGCUUGUUGGUGGGGUAAUGGCCUACCAAGGCGACGACGGGUAGCCGGCCUGAGAGGGUGACCGGCCACACUGGGACUGAGAUACGGCCCAGACUCCUACGGGAGGCAGCAGUGGGGAAUAUUGCACAAUGGGCGCAAGCCUGAUGCAGCGACGCCGCGUGAGGGAUGACGGCCUUCGGGUUGUAAACCUCUUUCAGCACAGACGAAGCGCAAGUGACGGUAUGUGCAGAAGAAGGACCGGCCAACUACGUGCCAGCAGCCGCGGUAAUACGUAGGGUCCGAGCGUUGUCCGGAAUUACUGGGCGUAAAGAGCUCGUAGGUGGUUUGUCGCGUUGUUCGUGAAAACUCACAGCUUAACUGUGGGCGUGCGGGCGAUACGGGCAGACUUGAGUACUGCAGGGGAGACUGGAAUUCCUGGUGUAGCGGUGGAAUGCGCAGAUAUCAGGAGGAACACCGGUGGCGAAGGCGGGUCUCUGGGCAGUAACUGACGCUGAGGAGCGAAAGCGUGGGGAGCGAACAGGAUUAGAUACCCCGGUAGUCC